Molecule: unclassified non-coding RNA, 234 nt
Filed under: plant metagenome
Description: partial contains small subunit ribosomal RNA, internal transcribed spacer 1, and 5.8S ribosomal RNA
Source: RNAcentral
UUUCCGUAGGUGAACCUGCGGAAGGAUCAUUACUGAGUAAGGGCCCUCUGGGUCCUACCUCCCUCCCGUGUCUGUUGUACCUUGUUGCUUCGGUGAGCCCGCCUCACGGCCGCCGGGGGGCAUCUGCCCCCGGGCCCGCGCUCGCCGGAGACACCCUUGAACUCUGUCUGAAGUUUGCAGUCUGAGCGAAAACUAAAUAAGUUAAAACUUUCAACAACGGAUCUCUUGGUUCCG